UGAAGAUGUUGCCCGUGUCUUUCUCCUGCAGGUGCUCGAGCGUCUUGCGGAGGAGGAUGAGGAAGGGGGUCAGCUGCAUUUCCAGUGCCACCUGCUGCACUUUGAUCUGAAACAGAAGAACGGAGCGCAACUGAGCAUCCUGCCCUAGAGACGGCCUCCAGGAGCAGCUUAGCAGACCCACAGGACAGUGCCACCUCUCCCUGCUGCAGUGGGGCCAUUCCUCAAUAGGGGCUGCACGGGGCACGCGCUGCACCUCAACAUCACCUCUAGAGAGCAGAGGAACAUCAGAGACUGUGAGCUGACAGAAGUGUUCCCAUCUCCUCCUUCCUGACUGCGUGUGAGGGCUCUUCCCUGGUACAGGGAACCAGCGCGCCUGACCCGCUGCCUCAGUAAGCAUCCCAGCUCCCCUGUCGUGUGGGUGACACAGAGACAGCCCAAAUGCUGCCUACAGCUCAGUACCUGCUCCAUGGUCACCCAGCCCCGAGGAUGCGAGAAAGCAAACUCUGGAAAUACUCUGCCUGACAUGACCACAAGCAGGAAGCUGCCCGGGACCACAGAGCAGCAAUAACAGGGUCCAGGCAGCUGCCCAGAGCUCUAGUGAAGGGCAACAGGGCAAAAUGGGAAGACAGCUCUGGUUACUUUCACUUUUGGAGAAUCAAAAACCAUGCUGACUUUUAUUCUGCUACUGUAGCCAAAGAUGAGCAGAAGUAGUUUCAAAUCUUCUCCAGCAAAUAAAAAUGAGAGGAGGCAAAAGCGGGAGAAACCGCUGCCUGAUCACAGUCUUCAAAGGGCUCAGAAAGGCUUAUACAGGGAAUCAGAGGAAAGAUCUUCCUCUGGCACGAGAAACCUCACAUCUGUGAAGCACUGACUGAAGGCUGAGGCAAACAGCAGGCUGAGAGCACCACCCACAGGGAACGUUCCCACAACUAUUUCAGAAUCUGUGAGGCCUUGGUUUCUUCCAUGUCUGGGGAUCCCUAGCCACCCCUCUCAAUGCCCGCUGACACAAGUGGCCUCAGGUUAGAGCCACUUCUGCCAGCUCUGUCACAGCUGCUGGCCCCAUGUCAGCAAGAGGAAUGAGCUAACUCCUGCACACAACGGGGCAGGCUUCCCUUCCCAUGGCAGGCUGCCAAAGGCGGAUCCGUCUGGCAAAUCUCUGAAUGCUGAGAGUGGAGGAGAAGGUAAAGCAGCAAAAGCAGGCAGUUGGGGCUGCCCUUUCCUCAUCAGGAGGUGGAGCUCUUUUCUCCAGCCCCCUUCUGAGCCCACAGGCACCACCACAUGCAGCAAACGCUUUGAGCCUACAGCUGCAAAGGCGCAGGAAGCACACGCAGACACCCAGGAUGCCCCUCAGCACCCCAAAAAGCAGCAUGUACCUGAUCACAGUUCCUCUGGGACUGCAGGUGUGUCUGAAGGCGGCGCAGCAGAGGGACACCGUUGCGGGAUUGCCUCUUCAGAGUCCAGUAGCUGUGCAGCCUCUGCAUGAACUGACUCUUCCUCUGGAUAGUUAGACGAUUGGUAAUCUUGCUGAGCCUGAAGAAGGGAGAGGAACCACAAACCCAAUCAGCAAAGCAAACCUGGCCAUAGUAGAAGCCCCAGUGUAGCAGCGAGGCCACCCAUGAGCUCCUCAGACUGAGCACACACAUUUGUUUAGCAGAAAUCCCUGAAAGGCCAAGGAACGAGGCAGCACACCACCGACAGUUACACUGAAAAACUUCCAGCCUUGUCUCUCUGAAAGGCCUUUUCCUUUCUUUCCUUUCCUCUUGACUGUUCCAGGUUGGGGUGCAAGGCAGGGGCAUUGGCAGCUGGGCCUUUCACAGCUCCCUGUGGCCCCGAGACCACGGCACGGCUGUCCCAAAGCUGUGAUUCACCCGGCUUAUUAUGCUGGCAAUGAGGGGCCACCCAAGACGACAAAGGCCCUAUUCAAACAUUACCAGACAGCUCGGCAGCCCCGAGCAGUUUGUAGCAUGAACAAAUCUGGGAAAGCGUGAGGAGGGGUGGGCAGACGCUAGCAGAACAGAGCUUGCUGUCAGAGCUAAGGAAGGACUACCCUGAACAGCCCCAAACAAAACAAAAGGGGUUUUCCUCCUCUUUACAAUGGCAAAGCCUGAAGCAACUGAGACAGCCUCUUACACCAGUGCAGUUAAGAGAUGCCCUGCUAGGUGGGACUGAAGCGUGGACCCCAUAUCUCCAUGUCCUGCAGGGCCAGCUCUUCACACAGGGUGAUCUGACCUGCAUCAGCCUCAGCUGAAGGCAGACAGCAUCAUCAUCUGCUGUCAUUGGCUGCGCACAGCUUCUACAGGAAGACAUUUGGCAUUCUGGCAACAGCCCUUGAAGAAUAAUUAAUCCCAACAGGAAGGCCUGGGGUGAGGUUAACAGCUUCUAUCUCAGAGUGGGUUUCACUGUGAGCCCGAGGGUAGCAGAAAAAGCCUACAAACAGCUUGCCAGUGCAUCCACACGUGGGAACAGAGAGGCUCGGGUUAUGGAACGCACCCUGAGCGAGCGAGCCGUACCAUAUGGUUAGCACACCAACACCAUGGCGCAAAGCCAUCAAUCCUGCAGCACAGACCUGCCCACACAAGUGCCCCAAACUGCCCACAGAGCAAACCCCAGUGCCUGCAUACCCCCUCCCACUCCACAGGAGCCCUGAAGGAGCCCUGCCAGGAGGCAGUGGCCCCGUGCUGUGACAGCUGCGACUCUGGGACCUGAGGGCCAGUGAGUGCAGCUCCAGCGUGGUGUCCCAGCUGCAAUGAGGAGCACCCGGCUGGUGACUCAUGGCCACGAAGGCAAAUGCUGCCCUGCCCGGCUCCAGCUGUGCACCACAGGCACACCGCAAGGCUGGGAAGCAGCGGGGCUGUGUGGGGCCAGCUGUGGCAAAAGGAAGGUGGCCUCUGCUUUCUUCCUGCAGCCUGCUCCAACACACAGGAGAAGAGCUCUGGGAGCCCCCAGCUGCUUCCUGCCACCUCUGGCCAAGCUCGGUUGCUGUCAUGAAGCCAGCGGCAUCUAUUUCCUGUACAGGCAACUCGUGGGGCUGCACAUUUCACUCCUCUCUGCGGGAAAGCCAGAGGAAACCACAAACAGCCCUGGGGAAGAGCAACGUGAAAAGCAUUUGUGCAAAAAGAUAACGCCUGCAUACAAAGCGAGACACGAGACAGUGAGAAAGGGAGAGGCUUCUCCACAGCAAGGGGAAGGCAACGAGUUGUACCUGUGAGGGGGGAUGCAGGGAACAGAAACCACAGGCGCUGCAGCUCGUUUUUCUGCCAGGAUCUUCCGCGCCUUCUUCAUUUUGAUUCUAGACUUGGCCUUUGCCUUUUUCACCUUCUCGGAGCUCCAGCUCUUUCCUUCCUCCUCCUCCUCCUCAUCCUCCUCUUCCCCCUCGCUGUGGGAAAGCGCGGGAAGCCUGCGCACAGAGCCUGGAGGUGUGUGGAUGUCACAGUAGGCGGUUUUGCGCACGCUGAACGAGGUCCCGUUUGCUCCUGUCUCACGGACGGGCUCCAUCUUCAUGUAGAGUCCAGCCUGCUGGGCACAGGUGACAUGGAAAGCGGUGUAACAGUUUGCCUUGUGACACUGGAUGCAAGCCCCAGAGCCACGCUGCUUGCAAAUAUAGCAGGUCAGCUUCCACCGCGCGGGUGGGAUGUGCUCGAUGCUGUCUAUGGGCUCCAGGAAGACCGUGUUGGCAAAGCACACCUCCGGGAUCCAGAGGGCACAGACCACGUGUGCCCAGCGCCCAUCGUCCGUCUGCUUGAACGCGCCGCCCUUGUUGGGGCACAGGGCGCAGUCCACGGCUCGCGAGGGUGACUGCAGGCACCUCCUGCAGAGCCACUGUCCCUCGGGGAUGUAGGGCACCCCGUAGCACUCCUGGUGCACGGCCAGGUUGCACAUAUCACAGAAAAGGAUGACGUUGCUGUUCUGGCAUUCCCCGUCAUUGCAGAUGCAGCACACGGCAUCCUCGUCAACCAAGGCGUUGGGGUCCCCCUUGUUGUGGCUCUCAAAAUACGACUCCUUCUCCAGCCUGUCCAUCAGGUACUCAAAGAUCUCCUGGGGAAUGGGACUGACGCCCUCAGUCUUCCGCCGCUCGUUCAUGAUAUCCAGCCAGAUGUAAUCUUCCUCGUCCAUGUCGUACUCCACCUCCUCAUCCAGCUCCUCCGCUGACUUCUCAAUGUACCUGGAAGGAGAAGGCACGGGAGGGUCAGAGUGCUGCAUAUUACAGCCAAAAGAAACCCCAACAAACAGGAAAGAAGCAGUCGCGCUCAGAAGCUGGAGGUGCUGCUGCACUGCUCGGGGUACCAGUACAACACAGCUGGGUGUUCACACAAAAUAACAAGUUGCAGACAUUGGAGACUUGUCAACACAAGACAGGAACUUGCACAAGCCAGCAAGUGGGCACCUGGUGCUCUGGAGGCAGCAACCUUGUUCCCCAGACACACGAGCAUUGGCCCUGCUGCAAAUGGAGUGCAGACAGUGCCAUGUUUUGGUAAUUCUACCUGCUGCCACCUGUGGGUGAGGCAAGCUGAACUGUGGGGAAAAGCCAGAAGCCCCUGCACCCUGCUCCAUCUGUCCUGCUCCAUCCAUAAAUGACCAGCAGUCACAGUGCAGCACCACAUCAAGCACUAUGCAGAGACCUUAUGGGAGCUCUCUUCUGCAGCGUGAUGCAAGCCCACAUUAUUCCUCUGUGCCUGCAGCUUGGUGCCAGCCUCUCAGGCAGCAUGGUGGCUAAGAGGGCAGAGGUGGCUGUGAGAGCAUCGCUUCAAUGCUCAGUACUGGCUCUGCUUAUUUUGCCCAGUUAAUAAACCACGUAUGGAAAACCAA
This is a long non-coding RNA of Lagopus leucura (white-tailed ptarmigan), 4803 nucleotides long. RefSeq lists it as uncharacterized. NCBI's taxonomy places the organism in Eukaryota, Metazoa, Chordata, Aves, Galliformes, Phasianidae. The record is from RefSeq and is a predicted model, not a curated record. The transcript is spliced from 2 exons.